UGGGGAAUUUUGGACAAUGGGGGGAACCCUGAUCCAGCAACGCCGCGUGAAUGAAGAAGGCCUUCGGGUUGUAAAGUUCUUUUGUCAGGGAGCAAAGGGUGGAGGCUAAUACCUUCUACCGCUGAGAGUACCUGAAGAAUAAGCACCGGCUAACUACGUGCCAGCAGCCGCGGUAAUACGUAGGGUGCAAGCGUUAAUCGGAAUUACUGGGCGUAAAGCGUGCGCAGGCGGAUGAUUAAGUUAGGAGUGAAAUCCCCGGGCUCAACCUGGGAACUGCUUUUAAGACUGGUCAUCUAGAGUUUGUCAGAGGGGGUGGAAUUCCAAGUGUAGCAGUGAAAUGCGUAGAGAUUUGGAGGAACACCGAUGGCGAAGGCAGCCCCCUGGGAUAAAACUGACGCUCAU
RNAcentral lists this ribosomal RNA (402 nucleotides) under uncultured bacterium. RNAcentral describes it as "bacterial SSU rRNA". It matches the Rfam family "Bacterial small subunit ribosomal RNA", at positions 355 to 750 of the family's 1533-position model. The record is from RNAcentral.